Molecule: ribosomal RNA, 225 nt
Filed under: uncultured bacterium
Lineage: Bacteria
Description: partial 16S ribosomal RNA
Rfam family: Bacterial small subunit ribosomal RNA
Source: RNAcentral
CGGAACACGUACGCAAUCUACCCAAAACUGAUGAAUAGCCCUCCGAAAGGAGGAUUAAUACAUCGUAACCUAAUUGAAUGGCAUCAUUUAAUUAGUAUAGCUCCGGCGGUUUUGGAUGAGCGUGCGCCUGAUUAGGUAGUUGGCGGGGUAACGGCCCACCAAGCCUGCAAUCAGUAACUGGUGUGAGAGCACGACCAGUCACACGGGCACUGAGACACGGGCCCG